CUCGUAGGCGGCUCAGUAAGUCGGGUGUGAAACCCCCAGGCUCAACCUGGGGACGCCACCCGAUACUGCUGUGGCUAGAGUCCAGUAGGGGAGUGUGGAAUUCCCGGUGUAGCGGUGAAAUGCGCAGAUAUCGGGAGGAACACCAGCGGCGAAGGCGGCACUCUGGGCUGGAACUGACGCUGAGGAGCGAAAGCGUGGGUAGCAAACAGGAUUAGAUACCCUGGUAGUCCACGCCGUAAACGUUGGGCACUAGGUGUGGGGACCCUCCAACGGUUUCCGUGCCGUAGCUAACGCAUUAAGUGCCCCGCCUGGGGAGUACGGCCGCAAGGCUAAA
RNAcentral lists this ribosomal RNA (334 nucleotides) under uncultured bacterium. RNAcentral describes it as "bacterial SSU rRNA". It matches the Rfam family "Bacterial small subunit ribosomal RNA", at positions 568 to 898 of the family's 1533-position model. The record is from RNAcentral.